This 497-nucleotide ribosomal RNA is filed under the name uncultured bacterium. Its description in RNAcentral is "partial 16S ribosomal RNA". It matches the Rfam family "Bacterial small subunit ribosomal RNA", at positions 28 to 507 of the family's 1533-position model. The record is from RNAcentral.
GAUGAACGCUGGCGGCGUGCCUAAUACAUGCAAGUCGAGCGAACGGACGAGAAGCUUGCUUCUCUGAUGUUAGCGGCGGACGGGUGAGUAACACGUGGAUAACCUACCUAUAAGACUGGGAUAACUUCGGGAAACCGGAGCUAAUACCGGAUGAUAUUUUGAACCGCAUGGUUCAAAAGUGAAAGACGGUCUUGCUGUCACUUAUAGAUGGAUCCGCGCUGCAUUAGCUAGUUGGUAAGGUAAUGGCUUACCAAGGCAACGAUGCAUAGCCGACCUGAGAGGGUGAUCGGCCACACUGGAACUGAGACACGGUCCAGACUCCUACGGGAGGCAGCAGUAGGGAAUCUUCCGCAAUGGGCGAAAGCCUGACGGAGCAACGCCGCGUGAGUGAUGAAGGUCUUCGGAUCGUAAAACUCUGUUAUUAGGGAAGAACAUGUGUGUAAGUAACUGUGCACAUCUUGACGGUACCUAAUCAGAAAGCCACGGCUAACUACGUG